UGAAUACGAGACGCUAAGGCGUCGAAGUAGUGUAUGUCAUACUUCCAAGAAAAGCUUGCACUGUCAUAGAUAAAAAACGCCUGUACCAUAACCGACACAGGUGGGUAGGUAGAGUAUACUAAGGGGCGCGAGAUAACUCUCUCUAAGGAACUCGGCAAAAUAACUCCGUAACUUCGGGAGAAGGAGUGCCUUAUUCGUAAGGUUGCAAUAACAAGAUCCAAGCAACUGUUUAUCAAAAACACAGGUCUCCGCUAAGUCGUAAGACGAUGUAUGGGGGCUGACGCCUGCCCAGUGCCAGAAGGUUAAAGAAGUUGGUUAGCAUUUGCGAAGCUAGUGACUGAAGCCCUGGUGAACGGCGGCCGUAACAAUAACGGUCCUAAGGUAGCGAAAUUCCUUGUCGGGUAAGUUCCGACCCGCACGAAAGGCGUAAUGAUUUGGAUACUGUCUCGGAGAGGGGCUCGGUGAAAUAGACUUGUCUGUGAAGAUGCGGACUACCUGCACCAGGACAGAAAGACCCUAUGAAGCUUUACUGUAACUUGAAAUUGAAAUUGGACUUUAUUCGCGCAGUAUAGGUGGGAGGCGUUGAUUAUAAUCUUGCGGGAUUAUUGGAGCCAUCAGUGAGAUACCACUCUUGUAAUGUUAGAUUUCUAACUUUGAAUCAUUAUCUGGUCAAAGGACAGUUUCAGGCGGGCAGUUUGACUGGGGCGGUCGCCUCCCAAACGGUAACGGAGGCGUACAAAGGUUUCCUCUGAACGGUUAGAAAUCGUAUCUAGAGUGUAAAGGCAUAAGGAAGCUUGACUGUGAGACCUACAAGUCGAGCAGGGACGAAAGUCGGUCUUAGUGAUCUGACGGUACUGAGUGGAAAGGCCGUCACUCAACGGAUAAAAGUUACUCUAAGGAUAACAGGCUGAUCUCCCCCAAGAGUUCACAUCGACGGGGAGGUUUGGCACCUCGAUGUCGGCUCAUCGCAUCCUGGGGCGGUAGUACGUCCCAAGGGUUGGGCUGUUCGCCCAUGAAAGCGGUACGCGAGCUGGGUUCAGAACGUCGUGAGACAGUUCGGUCCAUAUCCGGUGUAGGCGUUAGAAUAUUGAGAGGAGCCUUCUUUAGUACGAGAGGACCGAGAAGGACAUACCUCUGGUGUACCAGUUAUCGUGCCAACGGUAAACGCUGGGUAGCUAUGUAUGGAGUGGAUAACCGCUGAAAGCAUCUGAGUGGGAAGCCCACCUCAAGAUAAGUAUUCUCAUC
This 1245-nucleotide ribosomal RNA is filed under the name metagenome. RNAcentral describes it as "bacterial LSU rRNA". It matches the Rfam family "Bacterial large subunit ribosomal RNA", at positions 1564 to 2818 of the family's 2925-position model. The record is from RNAcentral.